UAAGGGCCGAAUGGCCCUGCGGCCGGCAGAGCGCGGAGGCGGCGCGGGCGCGCGGGCUGGCCGGGGCUCCGGGGGGACGCGGCCGGACCCCAGCCCCGCCACUCCUCGCCCGUUCUCAGCCGCCCGGGCCCCGCCAGCCCGAGGCGGGGAGAGGAUUUGCCUUCGGCUCGCUCUUGGCGCUCAGCAUGGAGGACUUCUUGUGGGAGCCGCGUCCGGGCGAGGCGCGCUCGCCUCCUGGGGACCCCCGCCCGGGCACUGCGCGCGGCCGCCGGGGAUGCGGGGCGCAGAGGCCGCGGCGGCGGCGGCGCCUCGACCUCGGGUGGAACGUGGAGAACGGGUAGGGGGCUCCGGACCCAUAACGUGGAUUACUUGGUGCCCAGGAGCCGGGAGGAGGAGACCCGCGUCCUCGCGCCGGUCCGUGCGGCUCCGUGCCUGCAGCCGCCGGGGCGCUCUCUGCAGGUGAAAUCGGAGGUCUCAGACGGACGUGCCGGGUGCUUCUAACCAGGGAAGAAGGGCCAGAAGGAAGCAAGGUGAGCUGCUCGCGGUCACCUCUCACGGGGCGGGUUCUGCACUCCUCUCCCGAGACGCCCCUCCCGCCGCUGCACGGCAGCCCAGGGCGCUGGUUGGCAGGUCCAGGCCUGGGAAGACAGACGGAGCGAGAGCUGCUCUUUCCCGCCACGCUUCGUGACCCCAGCCCACGCCCCGGACCCCCACGGAGGACUCGGCUGAGGGCCGGCACCCUGGGUUCCAUCAGGAGUUCCUACUUUGGAGAAUAAAGGAGAUGCGGGGUGGAGAGCAGAGCCCUCGGGUGAAGGACUCGUCUGUGCCUCGGCCAGGCCCUGGGCUCCGUUCUUGGACGUUCAGUGUUUCGCUGAGACGCUGGCCCCGCCCCAGCGGGCGGCCGGAGGCCUUCCUGCCACACCCUGGCCAGGGCCGCAGUGCUCCUGGGCUCGGCGUUUCUCCUUGUUUGCUCCACUCUCUUCCAGCCGGAUGCUGAGUGAAUAGUUAACUACAUGUAGGUCAAAUGGGAUCUCCAUUUUCGUUCCUGCUCCGUCUAGAGAGGCCAGCAUGUGUGCAUUGUGGGCGGCCGUGGGGUCGGAUCCCGUCUCGCUUAUUUGGGGUCUUUCCCCCAGCCAGGUUCCAGAGUGAUGCAGGGGUCGGCGUGGGAGUUCUUCCGGCUCUCAGAUGUUCUGGGCCCCGGCAAAGGCUGCCACAGGGGAGCCUGUUGUCUUCCAUGCGUGACUUUGUCUUUGGGUCACAUGCAGGUGUCCAUGUGUGCGACAAAAACGGACACUGUCCUUCAUCCUGUCACCUGUGACCUGAGACCCUCAGACCUCUGCUCUCCUGGUGGCAGUUGGGGUCCUUGCCAGAAGCUGGUCUUCAUGCCAGGGCAGCCAGCCACCAGGACUGGGGUGUUUUGAAGGGCCCCUUCCCCGCCGGGUGUGCUGUUGCCAACAGCUCGAGUCUCCACUGUUCCUUUCGCUCUGUAGCACAGUUGCUUAACUGUCCCUCACGGGGCAACCCGGCCCCAGUGCAGCGUCAGAGCCGUUGGUGCUUUCUGGUUCCCAAAGCAAAUGGGGGUGCCUUGUUUCGGUGAAAGGAUUGGGAGUUUCCCCGGCUGUGUGUUUGGGGUCCCUCCCGGCAGCUCAGACUCAACACAGAGCAGUGCAGGCGUCAGUGCUGUUGGAGGGGAAAGAUGGCUGCCGAGCCCUGGCACACAGUCACAGCCGUGGCGUUUCGUGGGCUCCCUCAGGUGCCGAGGAACAGAGAGCCGCUCACGUCACUGGCUGAUUGCAGUGCUGGCUAAUGGCAGAGCCGUGGUGGAAGGCAGACAGGGAACAGUCCCGGUGGACGCCCAGCACGGGCCUUGUCAAGAGGCCCAGAGCCAUUCAGCACAGCCAGCUGCUGUCAGUGGUGCCCAGGGCGAGCAGGGGCAGUAACGUCCUGGUCAUCUGGCCCCUCUGUUCAGCACGGGGGCUCACUGCUGCCGACUCUGCAGCUCCACUGCUGUGAUGGGCUGAGGGUGACCCUCGCCCGGUUUGCCUAGGAUAAGGGGUGAGUGGUAAAGUGCGGACAGCCCUAUGCAAACCGUUGGCUGCCCCACUGGGUGACUCCCCGGCACCUGCUGUGCCUGUUUUGCCUGCUGUCACCGAGUGCUGUGCUUGGUUUGCUUGGCCGGUCGCCAUGUGGGGCUGUUAUCUGGUCACGCCAUUGGCCACUGGGUUACCCAUGGAUGGAUGCCGUUGGAUCAGACCCCAGUCCUGAUGAGAUGAUGAGAUGACCGUGAAAUGGUCGGGGUGGGUGAUGUUGAGUGAUGGCCUGGGUGUGAAGAACCAACAGAGACCGUGACCUUCCGAAGGGUGUUGUAGGGAGUGAGCAUGCCAGAUGUUGGGGGAUUCCCUUCUUAGUCUACCUAGAUGGGAGAAAUUAACCUUUCUCAUUAAAAACAAAACUGUUCAUGAAGAAACAGCUGCUGCGAACAGUGGACAAGGUGUGCAUUGUAUGCAGUAAGGAACCAAGUAGAAGGUUCCACAUCUUUGCUAGACAGCGAGCUAUUAUUUCUGAGAUGGUCUUAUCUGGCGAGCAGAGCAGUUCCUAGAGAACUUCCCAAGAUGCCUUUGAACUCUAAAAUCUUUGAAAUCCCACGGGCUGGUAAAUCGGAGCUAAGUAUGCACUCUCUGUCUACGGUCUCCUGAGAACCGUUGAGGUGAGCUCAGAGCGUGUUGAGUGGGACCUCCCCGCCUCUCCUCACCUUUGCCGACGUUGGCUUUAUUGGGAAAAGGCAGCUUGGGGGUGGUGGGUGCGGGGUGAGGUUAGGGGAGAGAGCAAGGGAGCUGUGCCAGCCCAGUUCUUUGGUGUUUGUGACAGGAAGAACAGCCUGAUAGCCAAGUGCAGACUUUUUCACCAUUUGGGAAAAGCCAGGUUUCCAGGACAGCACUGUCCCCUGAGGCCGCCUGCCAGUCAGGGCAUCCGUCUCCCAUGUUUUUUCACUGGAGCACGAAUCCCCAGUCGCCUUGCAUGGCGUGCCCACGGGAGGUGGUUAUGGGCGAGGGUAGCGACAAGCAUGCAGACAGCCAGAGGCCGCUCCCUUGUUAGUUACUCCUGGGAUGCCCGUGCACCCCGGGUUGGCCCCUGGCUCGCCCUUACGUUACGGCCUGCGGUACCAUGGUAGGGGGUGCCAGCCCAGCUCCUCGGGUGUCAGUUUUCGUUUUUGAAAGAUGAGCACAUUUCAGAUGUCCCCUCCGUGUCUGUCCCACACUCAUUCUCUGAUUCCAGUAGGGAGUUCUGCUGUCGUACCAAAAGCAACAGGCUCCACCCCCCCACAGCCCUAUAUCCUCUCAUCCACGUAGAAUCCCAGAGGCUGAGGUGGGCAUGGGCACCACCCUCCAACCUUGCCCUUUUCUAACAUGUGGCGGGGAUGGCCCAGCCCUGGGUGGGAGCCCUUCUUCCGAGUGCGGAAGAACUGCGGGAGGAGGCGCCAUGACGCUCGACCCAACCUGGAAGCAGCAGAAUUUGUAAGAGCAGUUCCUGGGCUGCCGAGGGGGCCACUGAAUGUCCAUUUCCUAGUGAGAUGUUGAGCUAAAUGCGUGUGUCCUCUCGCCAGCAUCUGACAGCCUCCUCUUUCUGGAUCCGGGUAGCGUGCGUGGACGCUGGUAAAAAGCUCAGAACAAGGAGACAGUUUUUGACUCAAAGUCCCUCAUCUUAGUGCCUUCCAUGAAUGCCCGGGGCUAGGCCACACCGUCUUUGCAGGUUCCUCCUGCUCGGGCGUCCACGGUGCCUUCCCAUUUGAUGCAUGAGCCAUGGGCUUGCUAGGAGCUCAGGUCCGGUUGCUUUCUGUUCCGCAUUCCCCAGGUACACCAUAAAAUUACUCCAGCCCCGUGAACAUACUCAUCCUGCCUUAGUUCUUUACGAAUAUGACUUAAUUUCAGAUCAGCUCUGCUUCCCCCCACCCCCAGACUUUAUUCAACUUCCCUAGAAGAUUUUUCCAUGUCCUUGAAGGAAUUUGACCCAUAGGAAAACGUUUGUCCUCCCUCCUGGCCCUGGACCCCUGUGUGGGAAGGUGUGAGAGCCGUGGUAGCAGACGUGGGAGGUUUUCAUGACCAAGCAGGUCCCUGUGCUCGAGGACUCGGGUGACCUGGAAAUGGCGGCUGACCCUGGAUGAGACCCUCCCAUUCCGGGCCGGUAGCGGGGACGGAGGUGGAGCAGAGCCCUGAGCUGGCAGGAGAUGGCAGCUCUGGGGACCCGCGUGCCCGUCCUGCCUGGACUUCCCCUCCAGCUCCAAGAUCCUGUGCACGUCCGUCGCUCGGGCCCUCUCAGGGGCCUCCGUUUUCUCCACAGUAGAACGGGACAAGGAAGGGGCAUCAGCCGGGCCUGACCGGCCUGUUGGUUCUGUCUGUGUGGCAGGGUCUCAGCUGGCCCGGCUGGUGCCUGACCGUCCCCUGGCAAGGAGCUCCAUCUACCCUGGGCCUUUAGCUGCCAAAGGCAGCAACUCGGUGGCUCGGGAAGUCCAUUACCAGGGAGUACUUCAAAGCUGUUUGCCCUUGUCAGUUGCACUGAACUUGAGUUUGUCGAGGGAGAACGCAAAUAGACACACUGGCUGAUGACAGGGGGAGGGGAAGGGGCACUGCUGUUUACCCCGGGGGUAAAUGAGAGGGAAGGGAAAAAAAAAAAGAGAGAGAGAGAAACGAAACCCUGCCUGCCGUUUUGACCAAUAAAUAAAAACUGGGAGCUCGGCGUGGCUCAAACCCUAGGGGAUUUAUUAGUUUGCUUAGAGAAAGGCAAAUACGAAGUCUUAAGCUGACCCGUCCUGGGACCUGCCUCUUGGCUUUUGUAUGCCGUCCGGCGCCGAUCACCGGGUGCUCCGGGUUAUCGAGUCCUGUUGAAAGGUUUUGAAAAAAAAAAAAAGAAAAAUUCGUUUCCUGUCUCCUUCUUCGCUUCCUCCUUUGCGGGCCUCUUCCCCUCGCCUCCCGCCUUUUCUGGUGUCUCAGGACUGGGCUUUGGAGAGCUGAGGAGAGCAGGAGCCUGCAGAAAACUGCCUGUGCUCAGGGCCCUUGCUGGCUUGGGAACCUCUGGGGCGGCUCAAGGUCAGGGCGGGGCGGGGAGCCCGGGCAGGUGGUCCUCAUGGGGCCCCUCCAUCCUGAACGCUAGGCGCCAAGCUAUAGGGCAAAGGCCUGGUCCCUCAUUAAACACGUCGUGGGUGUAGUCCCAAGCGUUGGAAAAGAACAGGUGGCAGCUGUUUCUGAGUUGUAGCCUUCCCAUCCUCGGUGACUGUUCCUACCUGCCUGACUGCUGGUUGCAGCCUGACGCACUGACAGGUGGGUCUGGGAGCCCACGGAGCGAAAUACCAAACUGAAGGGGCCGGUCGGUCACCCCGUCUAUCCAGUUUCCAAGUGGAACUCAGCUUGAUAGGCCACGGGCUUUACCUCUCACUUCUAGCAUCCCCAGCGCAACCUGGGAUAGCCCUGAAGCUACAGUGUUCUCGGGUGCCCAGGUCCCAUGGGCGGGUGCUUUCUGGUCACCCCCCUGGUGAGGUGUCAUUGAGCACCCGCUGCAGUUCCUUUACCAGAUCCGCCCUUGGAGGGUGCACCUUACCAGUGUGACGGGGACCUGUGCCCACUGCGCAUGCCAGCCAGGAGCUGGGAAUGUCCUGGCACUGUUUAAUUAAGAAAGUUCCACUCAUGUUCCAGUAAUGAUUUCUGUUUGAGAUCACCAGGAUUCCUAAUCCUAUGUUGAUUGUUCAUGGAGGAGAUGGUUUUUUGAAGAGCAAAUGUUGGACACAUGGGCUGCUGAAAUCCUAUGAAUCCUGUGCUCAUGUCAAGUGCCUCUUUGUCUAGGAAGUCUUCCUGGACUUCCUCCCUCUCAAUGAUGUGUGACCGCCCCCUCACAUACUCUUUUAAAGCAUCUCCCGUUGGAUAGAUACUCGAAGAAUGUCGGCCCCUCCUCCUUGAGCAUACAUGUUAGUAUCUCAUUUAGUAUGCUUGUCCUGAACUUGGGGGCACCCUCGCCCCCAGCAUAUCUCUCUUUUCCUGUCUCUGUCACCCUGUCUCUUCUCUAAGAUCAGAAUCGAAGUCAUUCCUUAGUCCUGCAAAUGUAUCCUUGCCGUGCCCAAUCAUGUUUGGGUCACGUGGUAGGCCCUGUGAUGGGCAUUUCACAUAUUCUCUCAUUUAAUCGUCAGAAAACAGGGACUUAAAUGCAUCCGUUGCUUUGACCAAGUCUUUUAUGUGAGAGUUGGAGUUCAAAGCCAGGGUCAUUGACAAUGUCAAGUUCAGAACUCGUAAAUGUGUGUGUGGUGGCUUUUACAUGGCGGAUGGACAAGAAAGAUGUGGAGUUGACUUUCCCUGUUUACAACCUGUUACUGUGUGUACCACCAACUUGUCUGUUUUCUGUUUGCCCAUGAGUAAUCAAUAAAGUGUUAUCUGAACAGCCAAGAAUGUGUUGUUUCAUUGGUGGGUUUCCCAGCAGAAGUUCUUCUUGAAAGAGAAUGUGUCUGUGUCUGGUUUUGGCCGGUUGUCUUUGAGCCAGCUUCGUAUCCAAUAUGCAAAACAUAAAUGGCAGAAUUUCAGAUCGAAAUUUCUACCAAGUUUCACGGUGUCUAAUAGAAAUACAGGAAGGCAAAACAAACCACAUCUGAGAUUGUACCUGCUCUCUAGAUUUUAUUUACAGCCUGGUUAGACAAGACCCGCCCAUGUAAAACCAUCAAUCACACUUGCCGAAUGAACUCAGCCGUUCCUGGAGACUCGGCGGGCUGGAGCGUUCACCUGCUCUUGACCCUGAUAGAACUUUCCCAGCAAGUCACAGGCCCCAGGCACGGGGCCUGGAUGAUGUGGGGGCAGAUCCUUUGCCGCAGGACUGUACCCGGGUCAAUCCUUGCCACCUGGGGAUGACAGACAACAGGAGAAGAGGCACUGCCCAGGGCAAGCGGGCCCGGGAGGACGAGUGUCCCCAGCGGCCAUGAGUCUCCCCUGCCCUGGUAAGCAGAGCAGAAAAGCAGGCAGAAGCUCCCCUCUGGGGGAAGAGAAGCCCUGAAAACAUCCUCUGCGGAGCUCAUUCACACCGGCAAACAAGAGUUUGGACAAAGGAGACGUUAGCCGUUUCAGACAAGAGGGAGCAGUUUCAGACAAGAGGGAGGCGAUGGGACCCAGAGCCAAGAUCAUCAGACCACCCCGGGAAACAGAAGGCCAGUGGUUUCCAGGCUUUCCCAUGCUGGCUCUCUUUGGGAGAAAGCUGCUCAUUGGAUUCUCUUGGCAAG
This is a long non-coding RNA of Oryctolagus cuniculus (rabbit), 7249 nucleotides long. RefSeq lists it as uncharacterized. Lineage: Eukaryota; Metazoa; Chordata; Mammalia; Lagomorpha; Leporidae. The record is from RefSeq and is a predicted model, not a curated record.